CGUAGGUGGCAAGCGUUUGUCCGGAAUUAUUGGGCGUAAAGCGCGCGCAGGCGGCUUCUUAAGUCCAUCUUAAAAGUGCGGGGCUUAACCCCGUGAUGGGAUGGAAACUGAGAGGCUGGAGUAUCGGAGAGGAAAGUGGAAUUCCUAGUGUAGCGGUGAAAUGCGUAGAGAUUAGGAAGAACACCGGUGGCGAAGGCGACUUUCUGGACGACAACUGACGCCGAGGCGCGAAAGCGUUGGGGAGCAA
RNAcentral lists this ribosomal RNA (247 nucleotides) under uncultured bacterium. Its description in RNAcentral is "partial 16S ribosomal RNA". It matches the Rfam family "Bacterial small subunit ribosomal RNA", at positions 526 to 771 of the family's 1533-position model. The record is from RNAcentral.